GACGAACGCUGGCGGCGUGCUUAACACAUGCAAGUCGAACGGAAAGGCCCUGCUUGCAGGGUACUCGAGUGGCGAACGGGUGAGUAACACGUGGGUGAUCUGCCCUGCACUUCGGGGUAAGCCUGGGAAACUGGGUCUAAUACCGGAUAGGAGCCAUUUUUAGUGUGGUGGUUGGAAAGGUUUUUUCGGUGUAGGGUGAGCUCGCGGCCUAUCAGCUUGUUGGUGGGGUAAUGGCCUACCAAGGCGGCGACGGGUAGCCGGCCUGAGAGGGUGGACGGCCACAUUGGGACUGAGAUACGGCCCAGACUCCUACGGGAGGCAGCAGUGGGGAAUAUUGCACAAUGGGCGCAAGCCUGAUGCAGCGACGCCGCGUGGGGGAUGACGGCCUUCGGGUUGUAAACUCCUUUCGCUAGGGACGAAGCUUUUUGUGACGGUACCUAGAUAAGAAGCACCGGCUAACUACGUG
RNAcentral lists this ribosomal RNA (466 nucleotides) under uncultured bacterium. Its description in RNAcentral is "partial 16S ribosomal RNA". It matches the Rfam family "Bacterial small subunit ribosomal RNA", at positions 28 to 507 of the family's 1533-position model. The record is from RNAcentral.